This 74-nucleotide small nuclear RNA is filed under the name Tupaia belangeri chinensis (Chinese tree shrew). Lineage: Eukaryota; Metazoa; Chordata; Mammalia; Scandentia; Tupaiidae. The record is from RNAcentral.
GUGCUCACUUCGGAAGUACGUAUACUAAAAUUGGAAAGAUACAGAGAUUACCACGGCCCUGCACAAGGAUGACA